This is a non-coding RNA of Pelobates cultripes (western spadefoot toad), 986 nucleotides long. The record is from the annotation of a GenBank genome assembly. NCBI's taxonomy places the organism in Eukaryota, Metazoa, Chordata, Amphibia, Anura, Pelobatidae.
UUUUUGUUUGUUUGUUUGGUUUCUUUGUUGCAAUUUUUCAUUUUUUUGCUUGGCACUGACCCAACAAUGCCAGUAAUGAUUACACCUCAAAAUAAUAUUUGCAUAUUUGAGGGUAAUAUAUUUUAAUACAGUUCCCUGAUUUUAUUAUUUUGAAACAUCUGAAACCUGCGUUGGACAAAAUCUAAAGGAUUUUGAGAAACAGAGAGAACCCAGAUUACAGAUGCUACCUCGACAUGAUGGCACUAUGGUCGUGUAUUGUGCGGUUGUAAGUCUUAAAAAGCAGUGAGGAAUUCUGGGUAACGAAACUUCCUGAGGUGAUCAUGAAACAGCCAUGCAGACUAUUCUGUAUCCCGUUUUGCUGAACAGAACACACACAAACAUAUAUGUAUAUACAAUAACAAAUAUAUACAUAUAUACACACAUACACACACACAUACAUAAAACUCGUCAUCUCAGACAAAUUAGGAGAACUGAGUGUUCCAGUGUUACAGCUCACAAAUUGGACCCCCCUUCCCCAAGAAAAAUACAAUAAAACAUGCUUGUAUUUUAAAUUAUUCCUUAGACACAGCAAACCAAUAUACGGAGUACUGAAGUAAAAUCAAUUCGGAGGAGUUAAGAAGGCUUUUCACCUGGAAAAUGUAAAGAAACUAAAAGAAUUUGAUGCAUUUUUAAAAACCGCAUCACAGGGAAAAUAAAAAUGUCAAAAAAUAAAAAUGCUUUAAAAUGGCGAUUUAAUGUUAAUAUUUCUUUUCUGUGAUAGAGAAAUCCAUAAGUAAAGUAUCAUUCACUUGCUUUGCUGCCUGAGAGUAUAUCCAUGAUAGUGAAAAGGUCAGUGCGCAAGUGACGGUCCCUCAUCUGUUUGACUUUACCUCUCACCACCCUUUGCCAAGCAGGGAUAGGCUGAGAGUUCGGAUAGUCCCAGAUCAGCAGCUACUUCAGAAAAUUAUUCCUGAUCCAAAAGGUUUUAAAAUCACAGCUCAAAUAUA